CCUUAGUUACCAGCACGUUAAGUGGGGCACUCUAAGGAGACUGCCGGUGACAAACCGGAGGAAGGUGGGGAUGACGUCAAGUCAUCGAUGGCCCUUACGGCCUGGGCUACACACGUGCUACAAUGGUCGGUACAAAGGGUUGCCAAGCCGCGAGGUGGAGCUAAUCCCAUAAAACCGAUCGUAGUCCGGAUCGCAGUCUGCAACUCGACUGCGUGAAGUCGGAAUCGCUAGUAAUCGUGAAUCAGAAUGUCACGGUGAAUACGUUCCCGGGCCUU
RNAcentral lists this ribosomal RNA (275 nucleotides) under uncultured Pseudomonas sp. RNAcentral describes it as "partial 16S ribosomal RNA". It matches the Rfam family "Bacterial small subunit ribosomal RNA", at positions 1109 to 1382 of the family's 1533-position model. Lineage: Bacteria; Pseudomonadati; Pseudomonadota; Gammaproteobacteria; Pseudomonadales; Pseudomonadaceae. The record is from RNAcentral.